CCUUGAAUAAGUCUACACCAUUUUUAUUACCUCGUCAUCAUAAAUUCUUUGGAUAUCUGCAGAAACUUUGUCCUUCUAUUCACAUUUCAAGUUGCCUUCUUCACUCGCCAUUUUACUAAAAUUGAACUAUCUCUUGAAGACUCUUCUUAGGAGACCGAGCUAGAACACUUUGGUAGAUUCGGCAUUGCUGUGAGAUAUUGCAACAAGCAACAAACUCAGCCAAAUAGUGCAAACCGAAAGUUGCUCAAUUUUCUGCUCAACAAGAACGGUAAGUUACAUUUAAUAAUUUUCUGUAAUUAUAAUAAGAAGUUGUCAUGAUGUUAAGUGGGACUUCAGUGUUCAGUCGAAGUGAGUUCACUUUUGGGGCUGUACAUGCCAUAUGUUCAAUCUAGAGGCCUAAUCCAGAGAGCCAUGAAUGAUGCCCCUGGUUCAUAUUAGUUAAAGUAGAAUUCUUUUCAUUUAUCAAAUAUCAGAAGGCGAUUGAGAUAUAUGAAAAAAUAUGGAGUAAGAGGACCAUUGCUUAAUGCUGGCAUUUGCCAUCUCUUUAGAGGUGAUGUUGUUGCAAUAACAGAAGUAGCUAGGCACAAUAUAUUAAUCCUCGUGUGGAAUCUGUACUUUGAUCCUCAAUUGAUCGAGAUGGGAACCGCUUCUUAAUCUUACUCUUCUCUCUCACUCUCGCUCCAUUCUUCUUCAUUUCAUUCUUCGGUUCGUUCUCGCUAUGUUCUUCUUCAGUUCAUUCAAUUUAUUUUUAUGCAAAAUUCAUGAAUUGUAUUUGAUAAGUCUUGUGAUUGAUUCUCCGGUAAAUUCAUCCAGUAGUGACGACUUUGUUGCAUUUCUUGAGGCAGAGCUAACAGCUACUUCAGUUGAAUCAUCACUAGAUAAAGAAGCUGAAGAUGACAAAUAUAACGAUGAGGAAGCGAGGGAUGAAGUUUUUUUUCCUGUCAUUAAUAUUUUUAGUAGUAGAGACUGUAACGACUGGUGACGAUGAAAUUUUUUCCAUCAUUAAAAAGCUUUAAUGACAGAAAAUAGAUUUUUAACGACUAAUUUUUCUCUCGUUAUAGUCCUUGUUUUUCUUUUUUUGGUAGUGAUUAAAAGCUUCCUUUUGGGCAGGUGUAGAUGUGAAGAAACACAAGGCCAAAAUUGCUUGGGAAGAGGUUUGUGUGCUUAAAGAGGAAGGAGGGUUGGGCUUAAUGACUAGCAAAGAGUGGAACAAGGUGGCCAUAACCAAACACUUGUGGAAUCUCUUGCAACCUCAUAGUAGUUCCAUUUGGGUGAAUUGGGUAAAAAAGAACUGCCUUAAAAGAAAGAACAUUUGGGAAGGGAAGAUGGGAGGAGAAAGCACCUGGCUAUGGAAAAAGUUGAUGAAUCUCAUAAAUGAGAUGGAGAGUAAAAUCAAAAUCAUCAUAGGCAAUGGGACGCACACCUCUCUAUGGUUUGACAAUUGGCAUCCUAAUGGCCCUCUUUGCAAAAAAAUAUGGAGACCAUAUAAUUUAUGAUUUGGGGCUUGGAAAGCAUGCUAAAAUUAGUGACAUUAUUGAAGAUGGGCAAUGGAAAUGGUCGGUUGCUAAUUCUAGAGAGCUCACGGAAGUCAUGGAAAAUAUGAGUACAAAUCCUAGUGGAAGAAAUGACAGAGUGAUGUGGCUGCCCCAACCAAAUGGAAAAUUCUCCAUAAGAUUGGCAUGGGAGCUUUUUUGAACUAGAAAGAACAAAGUGGAUUGGUAUGGCACAAGAAGGUUAUCCCGAGACACUCAUUGAUUCUUUGGCUGGCAAUUAAAAAAAGGCUUAAUACCAAAGAUAAUUUGGUAAGGUAUGGGGUUAUCUCUAAUGCAACUUGUAACCUUUGCAACAAUUGUGAUGAAACUAUGGACCAUCUUUUCUUUCAGUGCGACUUCAACCCUUUAUCUGGAGGAAUGUAAUUGGUCCUAACAAUG
RNA transcript from Mangifera indica (mango), 1931 nucleotides. RefSeq lists it as uncharacterized. NCBI's taxonomy places the organism in Eukaryota, Viridiplantae, Streptophyta, Magnoliopsida, Sapindales, Anacardiaceae. The transcript is spliced from 3 exons. The record is from RefSeq and is a predicted model, not a curated record.